This 252-nucleotide ribosomal RNA is filed under the name uncultured bacterium. RNAcentral's name for it is "partial 16S ribosomal RNA". It matches the Rfam family "Bacterial small subunit ribosomal RNA", at positions 524 to 776 of the family's 1533-position model. The record is from RNAcentral.
UACAGAGGUCUCAAGCGUUGUUCGGAUUCAUUGGGCGUAAAGGGUGCGUAGGCGGCGCGGUAAGUCGGGUGUGAAAUCUCGGAGCUUAACUCCGAAACUGCAUUCGAUACUGCCGUGCUUGAGGACUGGAGAGGAGACUGGAAUUUACGGUGUAGCGGUGAAAUGCGUAGAUAUCGUAAGGAAGACCAGUGGCGAAGGCGGGUCUCUGGCCAGUUCCUGACGCUGAGGCCGGAAGGCCAGGGAGCAAACGGG